UUUUAGAGAAACUGCUAUGUUUACACUGAGGGUUAAUCCAGCCUCUAAAGCCUCUAGUGGCUGUCUCAUUGACAGCCGCUAGAGGCGCUUGCGUGCUUCUCACUGUGAAAAUCACAGUGAGAAGACGCCAGCGUCCAUAGGAAAGCAUUGUAAAUGCUUUCCUAUGAGACUGGCUGAAUGUGCGUGCGGCUCCUGCCGCGCAUGCGCAUUCAGCCGAUGACGUCGCUAGGAGGAAGGAGAGGAGGAGGAAAGCUCCCCGCCCGGCGCUGGAGAAAGGUAAGUGUUUAACCCCUUCCUCUCCCCAGAGCCCGGCGGGAGGGGGACCCUGAGGGUGGGGGCACCCUCAGGGCACUAUAGUGCCAGGAAAACGAGUAUGUU
Molecule: long non-coding RNA, 378 nt
Filed under: Pelobates cultripes (western spadefoot toad)
Lineage: Eukaryota; Metazoa; Chordata; Amphibia; Anura; Pelobatidae
Source: RNAcentral